CAAAAUAUGCAUGCUUAUGGCGCUUUACUUAUUGUUGCAUUGAGCACUCUCCUGAUCUUCAUUUAUAAUUGUUCUGAUCAAGUUCUAGUUACUCGAGAAAGGAGAAAGGCGAAAUCUAGAGAAGCUGCUGCUAAACAGGUAAGGGAAACUGUGCAGGCUAGGGAACGAUGGAAAAUAGCAAAAGAUAUUGCUAAGAAAGGUAAAGGGGGAGGAUUAGGUGAGCAAUUAUCUCGAACCUUUUCUCGGAAAAAAUCAGCGAAAUCAGAUACCGUAAAGGUUGGUAACCAAGCUAAACGUGGUAUGGGAGAUACGUUUUUGCCAUCGGUACAAAAUUCUUCAAGCUAUGAGCAACAGUCUGCAGCUUCAGACGUGCAAAAAAAGGAACCUACCAACCUUACUAAAAUGUUGAAUUCCCUUGAGGAUGACCCACAUAGCAAUGAAGGAUUCAACCUACAAAUUGGAGAUAAAAACAUCAAAAAGCAGAUGCCAAAGGGCAAGAAUUUACACACACAAAGCCAAAUUUUAAGGUAUGCUUAUGGUCAAAUUGAGAAGGAGAAAGCUCAACAAGAGAAAAACAAGAACUUGACUUUCUCCGGAGUUAUUUCGAUGGCCACAGAAGGUGAGGUUCGAACAAGGCCUGUGAUUGAGGUAGCUUUUAAGGACUUAACUCUCACUUUGAAAGGUAAAAGAAAACAUCUACUGAGAUGUGUGUAUGGUAAACUCAUGCCGGGUAGAGUUUCUGCUGUGAUGGGUCCCUCAGGAGCUGGCAAAACUACAUUUCUUUCUGCAUUGGCAGGGAAGGCAAGAGGAUGCACUAUGACAGGAUCAAUUCUAAUUAAUGGAAAGGCCGAAUCCAUUCACUGUUAUCGGAAAAUUAUUGGUUUUGUUCCACAAGAUGAUAUUGUGCAUGGGAACUUGACCGUGGAAGAAAAUCUUCGUUUCAGUGCAAGAUGCAGACUAUCCGCGGAUAUGCCAAAACCAGACAAGGUUCUGAUUGUUGAAAGAGUGAUUGAGUCCUUAGGACUCCAGGCAGUGAGGGAUUCCCUUGUUGGGACAGUAGAAAAACGAGGUAUAUCUGGGGGACAACGUAAACGUGUAAAUGUAGGGAUGGAAAUGGUUAUGGAGCCAUCAUUAUUAAUCUUAGAUGAACCUACAACUGGUUUAGACAGUGCAUCUUCCACUUUAUUGCUUAAAGCACUUCGUCGUGAAGCACUAGAAGGGGUAAAUAUCUGCAUGGUACUUCAUCAACCAAGCUAUACUUUGUUCAGAAUGUUUGAUGAUAUAGUGUUUCUAGCCAAAGGUGGUCUUACUGCAUAUCAUGGUCCUGUUAAGAAAGUAGAAGAAUACUU
RNAcentral lists this small RNA (1349 nucleotides) under Vigna angularis var. angularis. Its description in RNAcentral is "Non-protein coding transcript". Lineage: Eukaryota; Viridiplantae; Streptophyta; Magnoliopsida; Fabales; Fabaceae. The record is from RNAcentral.